Molecule: unclassified non-coding RNA, 348 nt
Filed under: Nocardia transvalensis
Lineage: Bacteria; Bacillati; Actinomycetota; Actinomycetes; Mycobacteriales; Nocardiaceae
Description: 16S-23S ribosomal RNA intergenic spacer
Source: RNAcentral
CUAAGGAGCACUUCUACACAGCAUCUCGAAUAGUCGAGAGUGGUUGUGUCAGAGACCGUUUGUGUCCCCAUGUGAGGGACCGCGGACGCUCAUGGGUGGAACGCUGACAGCUUCUUCUCACCGUCGUGGAUCCUGAGUGGUCCGCGGAGGAGAUAUAUCGACACACUGUUGGGUCCUGAAAGAACACGCGAGUGUUUCUUUCGAGGCAAAGUAAUACGAUCCGUUCGGUCUCUUGUGAUACCGGCUUCUUCGGGAGUGCUGGUCCUGGGUUGGAUUCGAGUGGGUGUGUUGUUUGAGAACUGCACAGUGGACGCGAGCAUCUUUGUUUGUAAGUGUUUAAGGGCGUUC